Nylanderia fulva is the source of this 135-nucleotide non-coding RNA. The record is from RefSeq and is a predicted model, not a curated record. Lineage: Eukaryota; Metazoa; Arthropoda; Insecta; Hymenoptera; Formicidae.
GGUAGUGACGCAUCAAGGACGAUGCCGCCUGACGGUGUUUCACCAGUUUGUUAUAACAAACUUGUAAACACAUGUCGAUAAAUUUUCUAAAGCACAAAUUUGACAUACAAUCUACCAAUGUUUCAACAUUCCAGU